Long non-coding RNA from Bradysia coprophila, 167 nucleotides. Lineage: Eukaryota; Metazoa; Arthropoda; Insecta; Diptera; Sciaridae. The record is from RefSeq and is a predicted model, not a curated record.
GUGGUGGUGGCUAUUGUGGAUUUUGUUCGAAAUGCUCAAAAUGCGACAAUACAUUUCUUUUGCUCUUUCUCUUACAUCUGUCAAACGGGCGCAAAAUUUUUUCGUCGAUAUAUUGACGCCUUUUUUUGCAUUUUAACCCGACAUACUAAUAUUUCAUUAUAAAUAAA